Cornus florida is the source of this 644-nucleotide long non-coding RNA. RefSeq lists it as uncharacterized. The record is from RefSeq and is a predicted model, not a curated record. The transcript has 2 exons. Lineage: Eukaryota; Viridiplantae; Streptophyta; Magnoliopsida; Cornales; Cornaceae.
UUGUGUCCGAGUCAAUUUCGCCGCCCACCCGGUCAAAUUAAUCCCAAAAACGAAAUUCAUAAACAAUGCGCGUACCUGCUGACCUCUCACCCCACCCCCGAACUUUCUCUCUCUUUCCCGGAAAAUCCAUAUAUCCCCAAACACAUAUAUAUAAGCACCCACCAUACUCUCCAUCCAUCAUCCAAAACAAACCAGAAAACCCAAGAUUUCCUCUGUUACCCUUCUUCCCCUUCUUUAAUUUUCUAGUAUUUCUUCUUUUUAAUUUCUCAGAUUCUUUUGCUUUUUCCAUAGUUUCAUAUUUGGAAUUGGAAGAUGAACUCAAUGAGAUUGUUCGCUCUCCCAAUCGUCGGAUUGAUUUUCUCGGCACUUCUGCAAAUCAUUGAUGGGCAAGCCAUUGCUCCUUCGCCUGCACCAGUUGGUCCAACCAGUGACAGCACAACGAUCGACCAAGGAAUAGCUUACUUCCUUCUACUUCUGGCAUUGGCAAUUACAUACAUGCUCCAUUAAUUACAAAUUCUUUUAUUUAUUUUUUUUUCGUGUAUUCCAUAUGGAGAAAUGGCCACAUUAUUUUUUUAUCUCUCUUCUCUUAUAUAUCCGUGUAAAGAAAUAUACUACUGAGUAAUAAAUUUAUUUAUUGGAGCCUU